This 5663-nucleotide long non-coding RNA is filed under the name Sus scrofa (pig). Its description in RNAcentral is "lncRNA (ENSSSCG00015008806.1)". Lineage: Eukaryota; Metazoa; Chordata; Mammalia; Artiodactyla; Suidae. The record is from RNAcentral.
AAUUGUCACAUAUUAUUUAUAAUGUUAAGUUACACAAGAGACAUUAUCAUACAAAUGAUACAUAGCUGAUGAAAUAUGGCCUGUAAAUAAUACUUUAAGAGACUAGACCUAACUUGGGGAUUGCUCAAAUGGAAAAAUAAUCACACAAAUAAAAUAAAAUAGAUUCCUUCUUAUUUUGAUUUUAGAUAACAGGGAACAUACAUAUGUAAGGGUAUUUUGAUUAAUCUGAUGAAAUUACAAUAAAUAUUGGCCCAUUGAAUAUACAUAAUUUUAGAGGAUGAUACUGGAUUUUUCUGGUACAAAGAAGUUUAAACAAUUCAAGUCACAUUUUAUACUGAAUGCAUUAUUUUGUAAUUCUUAAAAAAACUGCCCUUAAAAUGAGCUUUCCGUUCGUGCACUUUUAUGAAACUAAUAUUUUAAGGUAUAUUCCAUGGUAAUAAUUUUUCAACACAGAAUCUUAAAUACAUAAAUGAAGAAAGUGGUUCUGUUGCAAUGUCAUGUGAAACUUCUGUAGGCAAAUAAUAAUAAUAAUAAUAAUAAUAAUAUAUCAAGCUUGAAAAAAGAAUAGGAGCUAGAGUCAGCUUUCAAACUGGCUUUCUGAUUCAUGACUUUUUAUAAUUAGAAACAAGGAAAACAAUAUAUAAUGCUUUAACUUUGUUUUCAUUCUAGAAAAUUAGGGCCAGCUCUUGGCAACAUCUAAAUAUAGUUACCUAUCUAAGUUUGAAAUGUUUAGGAGCAUUUCAAACUAGUAUAUUAUAAGUGUCUCCACCUAGAGUGUUCUUUUUACUAUUUUUCUUAUAAAAGGCACCCUCUCACUAAAUAGGGUCUAAAGCAGUUUAAGGAACCUCACACUGUGGUGAUAAUGAUAACAUGACAGACAACGCCCUUGUCAAGUGUAGGUGCCAAGACACAUUUUUGCCUAACACUUUCCAAUAUUUCAGACUGUUUUCCAUAACAUUUAUCUAACAACAGGCAUUUUUGAGAGGCCAAAGAAAAUGAAUAAUGUGAAAACAUUCCUAGAUAGGUCCUGUGAAAGUAACCUAUCAUAACAGAUAAAAGGAGAAGCCUUUAUUGAAAUAAUUUUAUAUUACCAGGAAUAAACACUAUGCAAAAAUGUGUCACAUUUUUACAUGAGUUGAAUUAGGGCACUUACCAAUGUAAGAUGACUCUCUUUUCUGCCCAAAGCUCUUUUCCUAAAUAUGUACUUUGGAGACCUUUAUGUUGAUGUCUAGGUGAGGAUGGCAUUCGGAUGAAGGAAGUAGUUUGAGGUCCAACGUUAAAGAGAACACACCUGCAGUUUGCUUUAAGCGUUUCCACUUAACAAAAACAAAGUGAGAAAAUUAGAUACAUGGUUUUCCUAUCUAUAAAUUGUUAACUGUAAAGAUUUUUAACUAGAAGGAGUCCCUCCUGACCUGUAGUUUCCCAACUAUGUUCCAUAGAAAAGGAAGGUCCUCCUGGGGACACUGUAGGAUUAAGGGACAGAGAAGCCUCAGCUUUGAGUCUCCUUCCCUCCUCUGACUAAGCAGCUCUAUGCCUGUCUCUGUUUCAUAUAAUACAGUUUCAUGCAAAUAUAUAUAUUUUUUUUAAGAAAAAGAAACGUUCUUUUCUUUGAAAAAAAAUUAAGGUAGGAAAGUCAUUGAUUUACUCAGUCCCUAGUUUGACAAGAAGUAAGGAAGGCUCAGAGAGGCUGCAGCUUGCCUAGGGUCACAAAGCCCAAAGGCCCUCUUACUCAAUCUAGAGUUGAAUGCCAGCUACUUCCUCAGAUUAGGGAAAAACACAUAGAUUUUAAACUACAAUUUAGAGAAAAUAAAUACGUAUGACUGUCAUGUAGCUCAAUGAUGUUUGUGGCACGAGACAUGCAUUAGUAGCUUUCUGACGAUUUAGUUACGUUUUAAAGGCAUGAACAAGAAUAAAUUAUUACUGUAACUCCUAUUAUAUGCAAUCAAUGUAAUCAAUUUAAAAAAGCCCACUUUUUUUUUUUUUUUUUUCAAACCACAGGACAGGGAACUUGAGAAAAUCUUUAAUGGAAACAAGCUGGCCGAAACUGAGAUUCUUACUUAAAACAAUAUUCAUUUCCUCCAAGUAAAAUUUGUUUUACCAAAGUGACUCAACAAAAGAAUUCUCCCCCUUGGGAGUUAUAUAUGGCAAAAUUUAGAACACAAAACAGAUUUCUUUUGACCACCUAGCAUCCAUCUCUCCACUCUCUCAUCAUUACCUGCUGUGUACAAAAGACAGAAGCUUAAUCCCAAUUGCAGUUUAAAUCCAGACAGAAAUUAUAGGUGAGCUUCAUUUCCUUGGCCUACAGUUACCAAGUGACAACACACCCCCCCUCUACCCUCCUCGAGAGAGGAGAGGAGAUUUACCGAAUGGGCGAAUCUGGAAGAAGGAACUAAGGAGUGCUUGCUUUGUUCCAAGUCUCUUUGAAAAGAUGUGUCUGCCCAGAGCACCUUGAACUUGGGUCUCACACCUGCAGUAAGCAGCCUGCCCCUGGGACAAGCCUCCUCCCCUUAGGCCUGCGAGGGGUAGGGCCCAGUUGGGGAUGAAUAUCCGGAGCCCACUGUGGCCGCACGUCUGGACUGCAUCCUCCAAUUCAUCAGUAUGUGCCAGCGAGGAAGCUACUUAGCUGGUCUCCACCUGCCUGCCUCCUUCCCACCUCUGUCCUCCCAAGGAGAAGAGCAGUGUCAUUUGCCACCUAGCCCACCAGGCUCCACCAAGGACAAUGAGCAGACAACACUCAAAUGUUUUCUUCUUCUCUGUCUGUAUAAUUCGUGCACUCUGUUCAAAACAACCCAUACUUCUUUUUCUUUUCACAUCCACAACUGGGACAUAUGGAAGUUUCUGGGCUAGGGGUCAAAUCAGAGCCGCAGCUGAGACCUAUGCCACAGCUUCUGGGAUCCAUAGAAUGCCCAACCCUAUUUUAAAGCAGGGAGAAAUUGAGAGAAAUGUUUUAGAGAAAUAGAGUGAAGCCAUCCCAAUACAAAGAACAACAAAUACAAAUAUAUGAUCAUUUGUGCAACCAUAAUGUAUUACCAUUAAGUGGUAUUUGAGAUCACAGGCUGGAAAAUAACGGUGCAUUCCCUUUUGGAGACCAGUUUGAUAAAGACACACACACCACACACACGCACAUACACACGCACUUCCAAAGUUCAUAUACUUUCAGUAAUUAUUGAUGCUUUUAAGUUGAAAUCUGGUAUCAUUCUUAUUUUGAGUGUUACAAAAGUAAAUGCACCCAGGAAAAUGUAAUAAAAUCAAGCCCUUUAAACCACUUCAUUAUCCAACUGUAAAAAGGUUAAUGUGUGAAGGAAAUUACACUUGACAGUUUGUUAGCAGAAAUACAUGUGUUUUGCUACAGAGGAAAGUACUGAGGAAGAUUUUGUUGAUCAAGGCACUGAAAAAUGAAGCACAGAGGGAAAAACUGAAUGAAAAAGAAUGAGAAGAAGCUAAGGAAUUACCCUUAUCUUUCAAAAAUAAAAUGCCUGCUCACCAGUCCAUGUGGACAAAUUGAAGUGGGGACAUGAGGGAUCAUACGAAGCACAGAGGUGAACUCUGCCUCUGCCUUCUGAGAAACUAGCUUAACUGCUGUGAUCCUUUGAUCAGAGUUAAAACUCAGAGUGGAAGGCGCUGCCUUGGUGAUGCCAACCACAGGCUUAUUUUUUUUAAAAGAAAUGUAACUCAAUAUUCUGUUGCGACGUGACAUUCAUGUUAAAAGUUUUUAAGUCAUAAAGAGACAAAUACUGUAUGCUAUCACUUACGUCUGGAAUCAAAUAUAUAUGGCAGAAAUGAAUCUAUCUACAGAAAAGAAACAAACUCAUGGACAUGGAGAGCAGCCUUGUGGUGGCCAAGGGGAAGGGGAGGGAGUGGGUGGAUGGGGAGUGUGGGGUUAGUAGAAGCAAACUAUUGCAUUUGGGUGGAUAAGCAAUGAGGUCCUGCUCUACUUAAUUUUUCAGCUCCUUGAUCAAAAUCCACCCCUUUCUAUCAUUUUAGACAGUAUGUUAACAUGUUGCCUAGCAGAAAUAAUUACAUCCUAGAAGGCACCUUCUUUCUGUAAGUGUGACUAAGAAUUUUGUAAACCAUACCUGUAUAAGAACUCUUUUAAGGCAUCCUGUCUGUAGUGAUUAUGGAGACAUGUCUUUGCAUCUUGAUGGAAUAUUUUUUAAAAUCUCAUUAAAUCCAGCAUGAUUUGACAAAGCAAGACCCCACAAGGGAGCUAUGUAAAUCUUGGAAUGACACCAUUGUGUUUAAAACAAACUGGUUUUCAAUUUACAUAGAAAUACUAAAAAAUAAAUACCUCUUUCCUCCAAAAAAAAUUUAAGGAACUUUUUUCUCAGCAAUUUUCUCUUGCAUGGCUUUUGCCUUCUGCAUUUACACCCUCUUUCAUCGUCAUCUGAUAAAAUGAUGCAUGUUCUGAUUUUUGGGGUGACAACUAACAGGAACAUUUUAAGUUUGCAUCAUGCUUAGCAACUGACAGAAGUGCCUGACAUGCAUUUUCUUUUUGGAUCCUAGAGUCCAGGUUCAAGACUCUGAAGUACCUAGACCUAGUUUAGCUGCAGUGCUAAGAAACCUUAGCCUUGCUCCUCUGUGAUUUAUUAUGACAUGAAGCCCGUGAGAAAACAGGUUGAAACGUCAUUUUAAAAGGGCCUGUGCUACUUUUCUCUGCCUCAAGAAGCUCCAGAAAACACCCUCCAAACCAUCAACCCAUGUGCACUGAUUAAAGUGGAUACUUUAGUAGCAAUGAAACAAUGCAAAUAGUUGCAAUUUAAAGUCUCCCCAUCUUUGCCACCUUAGUCCCCAUUCAUCCAAGUCUUGGCAAGAUAGAGACAUAAGUGAACUUCAUUUAAAAAGGUUAAAUAUUUCCUGGAGUUCCCUUUGUGGCUCAGCAGUUAAGGAAACUGACUAGGAUCCAUGAGGAUGCCGGUUUGAUCCCUGGCCUUACUCAGUGGGUAAACGAUCUGGCAUUGUUGUGAGCUGUGGUGUAGGUCACAGACGUGGCUGGGUUCUGGUGUUGCUGUAGCUGUGGUGUAGGCUGACAGCUGGAGCUCUGAUUCAACCCCUAGCUUGGGAACUUCCAUAUUGCCAUGAGUGCAACCUUUAUUUCCUUUACUUAACUACAUAUUUAGGAAUGUUCUACAACUGGUCAGUAAGACAUUUUAAAAAAACAAAUAAAAAUGCUGGAAGUAAAAUAGCAACUAAGGAGGUACUCUCAUGUAAGAACAUGACAAAAGUUUUUUUUUUUUUUUUUGUUUUAGUGCUGCACCCGUGGCAUAUGGAGGUUCCCAGGCUAGGGUCAAAUCAGAGCUGUAGCCGCUGGCCUGCACCACAGCUCAUGGCAAUGCCAGAUCCUUAACCACUGAGCGAGCCCUGGGAUCAAACCUGCAUCUUCAUGGAUACUAGUUGGGUUCGUUAACUGCUGAGCCACCAUGGGAACUCCCAUGACAAAAGUUUUAAAACACAGAAAUGAUGGAGUUCCUGCUUUGGUGCAAUGGGAAGGGUGGCAUCUCGGUGACACCAGAACACAGGUUCAAUCCCCAGACCCCACAGUAGGUUAAAGGAUCCACAUUGCCGGAGCUAUGGCAUAGGUCCCAACUGUGGCUCAGAUCUGAUUCCCAGUCCAGAAACUUCAUAUGCUGCAAGUAGGCNAAAAAAAAAAAAAAAAAAAAGAAAAA